This 253-nucleotide ribosomal RNA is filed under the name uncultured bacterium. RNAcentral's name for it is "partial 16S ribosomal RNA". It matches the Rfam family "Bacterial small subunit ribosomal RNA", at positions 524 to 776 of the family's 1533-position model. The record is from RNAcentral.
UACGUAGGGUGCAAGCGUUAAUCGGAAUUACUGGGCGUAAAGCGUGCGCAGGCGGUUGUGCAAGCCCGAUGUGAAAUCCCCGGGCUUAACCUGGGAAUGGCAUUGGUGACUGCACGGCUAGAGUGUGUCAGAGGGGGGUAGAAUUCCACGUGUAGCAGUGAAAUGCGUAGAGAUGUGGAGGAAUACCGAUGGCGAAGGCAGCCCCCUGGGAUAACACUGACGCUCAUGCACGAAAGCGUGGGGAGCAAACAGG